RNAcentral lists this small nuclear RNA (141 nucleotides) under Gavia stellata (red-throated loon). Its description in RNAcentral is "U12 minor spliceosomal RNA". It matches the Rfam family "U12 minor spliceosomal RNA". Rfam says of the family: Although the U12 sequence is very divergent from that of U2, the two are functionally analogous. The record is from Rfam by way of RNAcentral. Lineage: Eukaryota; Metazoa; Chordata; Aves; Gaviiformes; Gaviidae.
GUACCUUAAACUUAUGAGUAAGGAAAAUAACGACCCAGGGUGAUGCCAGGGUCCACACUGCAAAUGUGAGAGGAAUUUUUGAGUGGGUACAGGUUGUCCCUGGGUGACCCGCUUACUUCGCGGGAUGCCAAAAAAAAAAAA